RNAcentral lists this ribosomal RNA (431 nucleotides) under uncultured bacterium. Its description in RNAcentral is "partial 16S ribosomal RNA". It matches the Rfam family "Bacterial small subunit ribosomal RNA", at positions 29 to 506 of the family's 1533-position model. The record is from RNAcentral.
ACGAACGCUGGCGGCAUGCCUAACACAUGCAAGUCGAACGCGACCUUCGGGUCUAGUGGCGCACGGGUGCGUAACGCGUGGGAACCUGCCCUUAGGUUCGGAAUAACUCCCCGAAAGGGGUGCUAAUACCGGAUAAUGUCUUCGGACCAAAGAUUUAUCGCCUUUGGAUGGGCCCGCGUUGGAUUAGCUAGUUGGUAGGGUAAAAGCCUACCAAGGCGACGAUCCAUAGCUGGUCUGAGAGGAUGAUCAGCCACACUGGGACUGAGACACGGCCCAGACUCCUACGGGAGGCAGCAGUGGGGAAUAUUGGACAAUGGGCGAAAGCCUGAUCCAGCAAUGCCGCGUGAGUGAUGAAGGCCUUAGGGUUGUAAAGCUCUUUUACCCGGGAUGAUAAUGACAGUACCGGGAGAAUAAGCUCCGGCUAACUCCGU